CUGACCAGAAAGUGAUCUUCUGUUUAGAACUGCGAUUAUGCAGAAGGUCCGUCUGUCUUCCUUUGAUAUUCACCUGUGAAAAGAAAGUGACAGGGUGAGGAAACUAAGAUUAAGACGUGUUCAGAGCUGAGAUUCAAGACUGGAACUCUACCAUCACCUUUCCUGGGUCUCCAGCAUGCCUAUUGUAGAUAUUGGGGCUUCUCAGCCCUCAUAACCAUAAUUAUUCAAAGCCUUCAAAGGGUUCUGCAUAGCAAACAACAGACAUGAAACCGUGAACAAGCAAACUAAAGGGAGCCUUAAUACAUUCACCCUAUGUGAGACCAGCCAGAAUGAGGACUCCUCAAGGAC
RNAcentral lists this long non-coding RNA (348 nucleotides) under Pan troglodytes (chimpanzee). Its description in RNAcentral is "lincRNA". Lineage: Eukaryota; Metazoa; Chordata; Mammalia; Primates; Hominidae. The record is from RNAcentral.